GCCUUCGUGGUGUAAUGGUCAGCACGCUCGGCGCGUAUUCGAGAGGUCCGUGGUUUGAAUCCCGGCAAGGGCA
Stegodyphus mimosarum is the source of this 73-nucleotide non-coding RNA. The record is from Rfam. NCBI's taxonomy places the organism in Eukaryota, Metazoa, Arthropoda, Arachnida, Araneae, Eresidae.